CCUACGUGGCUGCAGUGGGGAAUAUUGCACAAUGGGCGCAAGCCUGAUGCAGCCAUGCCGCGUGUGUGAAGAAGGCCUUCGGGUUGUAAAGCACUUUCAGCGGGGAGGAAGGCGUUAAGGUUAAUAACCUUGUCGAUUGACGUUACCCGCAGAAGAAGCACCGGCUAACUCCGUGCCAGCAGCCGCGGUAAUACGGAGGGUGCAAGCGUUAAUCGGAAUUGCUGGGCGUAAAGCGCACGCAGGCGGUCUGUCAAGUCGGAUGUGAAAUCCCCGGGCUCAACCUGGGAACUGCAUUCGAAACUGGCAGGCUAGAGUCUUGUAGAGGGGGGUAGAAUUCCAGGUGUAGCGGUGAAAUGCGUAGAGAUCUGGAGGAAUACCGGUGGCGAAGGCGGCCCCCUGGACAAAGACUGACGCUCAGGUGCGAAAGCGUGGGGAGCAAACAGGAUUAGAUACCCCGGUAGUC
RNAcentral lists this ribosomal RNA (463 nucleotides) under uncultured Klebsiella sp. RNAcentral describes it as "bacterial SSU rRNA". It matches the Rfam family "Bacterial small subunit ribosomal RNA", at positions 338 to 795 of the family's 1533-position model. The record is from RNAcentral. Lineage: Bacteria; Pseudomonadati; Pseudomonadota; Gammaproteobacteria; Enterobacterales; Enterobacteriaceae.